This 447-nucleotide ribosomal RNA is filed under the name uncultured bacterium. Its description in RNAcentral is "bacterial SSU rRNA". It matches the Rfam family "Bacterial small subunit ribosomal RNA", at positions 331 to 792 of the family's 1533-position model. The record is from RNAcentral.
CCAGACUCCUACGGGAGGCAGCAGUGGGGAAUAUUGCACAAUGGGGGGAACCCUGAUGCAGCAAUGCCGCGUGAAGGAUGAAGGUUUUCGGAUUGUAAACUUCUUUUGUACGGGACGAAGAAAGUGACGGUACCGUAAGAAUAAGCCACGGCUAACUACGUGCCAGCAGCCGCGGUAAUACGUAGGUGGCAAGCGUUAUCCGGAUUUACUGGGUGUAAAGGGCGCGUAGGCGGGAUGGCAAGUCAGAUGUGAAAUCCAGGGGCUCAACCCCUGAACUGCAUUUGAAACUGUCGUUCUUGAGUACUGGAGAGGUUGACGGAAUUCCUAGUGUAGCGGUGAAAUGCGUAGAUAUUAGGAGGAACACCAGUGGCGAAGGCGGUCAACUGGACAGCAACUGACGCUGAGGCGCGAAAGCGUGGGGAGCAAACAGGAUUAGAUACCCUCGUA